AUUGAACGCUGGCGGCAGGCUUAACACAUGCAAGUCGAGCGGGGUGAUGGUGCUUGCACUAUCACUUAGCGGCGGACGGGUGAGUAAUGCUCAGGAAUCUGCCUAUUAGUGGGGGACAACAUCUCGAAAGGGAUGCUAAUACCGCAUACGUCCGACGGGAGAAAGCAGGGGAUCACUUGUGACCUUGCGCUAAUAGAUGAGCCUAAGUCGGAUUAGCUAGUUGGUGGGGUAAAGGCCUACCAAGGCGACGAUCUGUAGCGGGUCUGAGAGGAUGAUCCGCCACACUGGGACUGAGACACGGCCCAGACUCCUACGGGAGGCAGCAGUGGGGAAUAUUGGACAAUGGGGGGAACCCUGAUCCAGCCAUGCCGCGUGUGUGAAGAAGGCCUUAUGGUUGUAAAGCACUUUAAGCGAGGAGGAGGCUCUUUUGGUUAAUACCCAAGAUGAGUGGACGUUACUCGCAGAAUAAGCACCGGCUAACUCUGUGCCAGCAGCCGCCGUAA
RNAcentral lists this ribosomal RNA (503 nucleotides) under uncultured bacterium. RNAcentral's name for it is "partial 16S ribosomal RNA". It matches the Rfam family "Bacterial small subunit ribosomal RNA", at positions 30 to 523 of the family's 1533-position model. The record is from RNAcentral.